Molecule: ribosomal RNA, 468 nt
Filed under: uncultured bacterium
Lineage: Bacteria
Description: partial 16S ribosomal RNA
Rfam family: Bacterial small subunit ribosomal RNA
Source: RNAcentral
GACGAACGCUGGCGGCGUGCUUAACACAUGCAAGUCGAACGGAAAGGCCCUGCUUUUGUGGGGUGCUCGAGUGGCGAACGGGUGAGUAACACGUGAGUAACCUGCCCUUGACUUUGGGAUAACUUCAGGAGACUGGGGCUAAUACCGGAUAGGAGCUCCUGCUGCAUGGUGGGGGUUGGAAAGUUUCGGCGGUUGGGGAUGGACUCGCGGCUUAUCAGCUUGUUGGUGGGGUAGUGGCUUACCAAGGCUUUGACGGGUAGCCGGCCUGAGAGGGUGACCGGCCACAAUGGGACUGAGAUACGGCCCAGACUCCUACGGGAGGCAGCAGUGGGGAAUAUUGCACAAUGGGCGGAAGCCUGAUGCAGCAACGCCGCGUGCGGGAUGACGGCCUUCGGGUUGUAAACCGCUUUCGCCUGUGACGAAGCGUGAGUGACGGUAAUGGGUAAAGAAGCACCGGCUAACUACGUG